Molecule: long non-coding RNA, 237 nt
Organism: Sinocyclocheilus anshuiensis
Lineage: Eukaryota; Metazoa; Chordata; Actinopteri; Cypriniformes; Cyprinidae
Exons: 3
Source: RefSeq, a predicted model, not a curated record
CCAAGCGGUGCUGAAAAAAGGAGGAAACGGGAGGAAAGCGAAAGGUUUUUAGCAAAACUACAAAAGUAACAUAAGAUAGAAGACCAUAAACAACUUUUCCAAUUUAGGCAGCAGCAAGCAGAUCCAGUUAGCAGAUUCUAUCAGAGAACCUGCUGGGAAACCAAGAUAGAACUCCAGAUGACUAGACAUCAUUGCUUUGUGAAGACUGCUGAAGAGAAAUUACAAGUAAAGCCGGGC